RNAcentral lists this transfer RNA (69 nucleotides) under Crotaphytus bicinctores. Its description in RNAcentral is "tRNA-Ala". Lineage: Eukaryota; Metazoa; Chordata; Lepidosauria; Squamata; Crotaphytidae. The record is from RNAcentral.
UAAGACCUGUGGAACACUAAUCCACAUCUUCUGAAUGCAAAUCAGACACUUUAAUUAAGCUAAAGCCUC